CAGUCGCCGCGGUAAUACGGAGGGUGCAAGCGUUAAUCGGAAUUACUGGGCGUAAAGCGCACGCAGGCGGUCUGACAAGUCAGAUGUGAAAUCCCCGGGCUUAACCUGGGAACUGCAUUUUGAAACUGUCAGGCUGGAGUCUUGUAGAGGGGGGUAGAAUUCCAGGUGUAGCGGUGAAAUGCGUAGAGAUCUGGAGGAAUACCGGUGGCGAAGGCGGCCCCCUGGACAAAGACUGACGCUCAGGUGCGAAAGCGUGGGGAGCAAACAGGAUUAGAUACCCGGGUAGUCCCUGUCUCUUAUA
RNAcentral lists this ribosomal RNA (301 nucleotides) under uncultured bacterium. RNAcentral describes it as "partial 16S ribosomal RNA". It matches the Rfam family "Bacterial small subunit ribosomal RNA", at positions 509 to 808 of the family's 1533-position model. The record is from RNAcentral.